This 253-nucleotide ribosomal RNA is filed under the name uncultured bacterium. RNAcentral describes it as "partial 16S ribosomal RNA". It matches the Rfam family "Bacterial small subunit ribosomal RNA", at positions 524 to 776 of the family's 1533-position model. The record is from RNAcentral.
UCCGGAGGGCGCAAGCGUUGUUCGGAAUUACUGGGCGUAAAGCGCGUGUAGGUGGCUUGGAAAGUCGGGUGUGAAAUCCCGGAGCUCAACUCCGGAACUGCAUCCGAUACUGCCAAGCUCGAGUCUCGGAGAGGAUGGCGGAAUUUCCGGUGUAGAGGUGAAAUUCGUAGAUAUCGGAAGGAACACCAGUGGCGAAGGCGGCCGUCUGGACGAUGACUGACACUGAGACGCGAAAGCGUGGGGAGCAAACAGG